RNAcentral lists this ribosomal RNA (253 nucleotides) under uncultured bacterium. RNAcentral describes it as "partial 16S ribosomal RNA". It matches the Rfam family "Bacterial small subunit ribosomal RNA", at positions 524 to 776 of the family's 1533-position model. The record is from RNAcentral.
UACGUAGGGUGCAAGCGUUGUUCGGAAUCAUUGGGCGUAAAGCGUGUGUAGGUGGCUUGCUAAGUUGAUUGUGAAAUCCCUGGGCUCAACCGAGGAAGUGCAGUCAAAACUAGUAGGCUAGAGGAUGGCAGAGGAAGGUGGAAUUCCAAGUGUAGAGGUGAAAUUCGUAGAUAUUUGGAGGAAUACCGGCGGCGAAGGCGGCCUUCUGGACCAUUCCUGACACUGAGACACGAAAGCGUGGGUAGCAAACAGG